GGGGAUGUGGCUCAAGUGGUAGAGUGCUUGCCUAGCAUGCAUGAGGAACUGGGUUCAAUUCUCAGCACCACA
RNAcentral lists this transfer RNA (72 nucleotides) under Marmota monax (woodchuck). RNAcentral's name for it is "tRNA.Ala". It matches the Rfam family "tRNA". From Rfam's summary of the family: Transfer RNA (tRNA) molecules are approximately 80 nucleotides in length. Their secondary structure includes four short double-helical elements and three loops (D, anti-codon, and T loops). Lineage: Eukaryota; Metazoa; Chordata; Mammalia; Rodentia; Sciuridae. The record is from RNAcentral.